RNAcentral lists this ribosomal RNA (430 nucleotides) under Pseudomonadota bacterium. RNAcentral describes it as "Proteobacteria bacterium partial 16S ribosomal RNA". It matches the Rfam family "Bacterial small subunit ribosomal RNA", at positions 355 to 776 of the family's 1533-position model. Lineage: Bacteria; Pseudomonadati; Pseudomonadota. The record is from RNAcentral.
UGGGGAAUAUUGGACAAUGGGGGGAACCCUGAUCCAGCCAUGCCGCGUGUGUGAAGAAGGCCUUAUGGUUGUAAAGCACUUUAAGCGAGGAGGAGGGUACUGGUAUUAAUACUACCAGCUACUGGACGUUACUCGCAUAAUAAGCACCGGCUAACUCUGUGCCAGCAGCCGCGGUAAUACAGAGGGUGCGAGCGUUAAUCGGAUUUACUGGGCGUAAAGCGUGCGUAGGCGGCUAAUUGAGUCGGAUGUGAAAUCCCCGAGCUUAACUUGGGAAUUGCAUUCGAUACUGGUUAGCUAGAGUGUGGGAGAGGAUGGUAGAAUUCCAGGUGUAGCGGUGAAAUGCGUAGAGAACUGGAGGAAUACCGAUGGCGAAGGCAGCCAUCUGGCCUAACACUGACGCUGAGGUACGAAAGAAUGGGGAGCAAACAGG